RNAcentral lists this ribosomal RNA (422 nucleotides) under Salmonella enterica subsp. enterica serovar Typhimurium. Its description in RNAcentral is "partial 23S ribosomal RNA". It matches the Rfam family "Bacterial large subunit ribosomal RNA", at positions 272 to 692 of the family's 2925-position model. Lineage: Bacteria; Pseudomonadati; Pseudomonadota; Gammaproteobacteria; Enterobacterales; Enterobacteriaceae. The record is from RNAcentral.
AACCAAUGUUGUUACGGCAAUAUUGGGGUUGUAGGACCACGACAUCGCAAGACAUUUCAUGAGUAGAACCCUUUGGAAAAUGGGACCAUAGACGGUGAUAGUCCGGUAUUCGAAGCUAAACGAAGCGUAGUGGUAUCCUGAGUAGCGCGGGACACGAGGAAUCUUGCGUGAAUCUGCCGGGACCAUCCGGUAAGGCUAAAUACUCCCGAGAGACCGAUAGCGAACCAGUACUGUGAAGGAAAGGUGAAAAGCACUUCGAAUAGAAGAGUGAAAUAGUCCCUGAAACCGUGCGCCUACAAGCGGUCGGAGCUUUGUAAGAAGUGACGGCGUGCCUUUUGCAUAAUGAACCUACGAGUUACUUUUUCCGGCAAGGUUAAGUGUCUCAAGACAUGAAGCCGAAGCGAAAGCGAGUCUGAACAGGG